AGUGAACGCUGGCGGUAGGCCUAACACAUGCAAGUCGAACGAACACACAGUAAGCUCUUGCUCUUACGGGUGGCGGGUGACGGACGGGUGAGGCAUACAUCGGAAUCUUCUUUUUCGGGGAGGAUAACGUAGGACAACAUACGCUACUACCGCAUAUGACCUACGGGUUAAAUCAGUGGAUCUUCGCACCUUGCGUGUUAGAAUGAGCCGAUGUCGGAUUAGCUAGUUGGUGGGGUAAGGGCUUACCAAGGCAACGAUGCGUAGCUGACCUGAGAGGAUGAUCAGCCACACUGGAACUGAGACACGGUCCAGACUCCUACGGGAGGCAGCAGUAGGGAAUCUUCGACAAUGGGCGCAAGCCUGACCGAGCCACGCCGCGUGGGUGAAGAAGGCCUUCGGGUCGUAAAGCCCUGUUGUUAGGAAAGAACAGAAGCGGAAGAAAACAUGGAUGUUUUGACGGUACCUAAAGAAAAAGCAACGGCUAACUUCGUG
Molecule: ribosomal RNA, 492 nt
Filed under: uncultured bacterium
Lineage: Bacteria
Description: partial 16S ribosomal RNA
Rfam family: Bacterial small subunit ribosomal RNA
Source: RNAcentral